Molecule: RNA transcript, 1032 nt
Organism: Belonocnema kinseyi
Lineage: Eukaryota; Metazoa; Arthropoda; Insecta; Hymenoptera; Cynipidae
Gene: MED22
Gene name: mediator of RNA polymerase II transcription subunit 22
Exons: 3
Source: RefSeq, a predicted model, not a curated record
GAAUACAAUUUGCAACAAUUUGCAAUGAUGGCCGCACUGAUGUGUAUUAUACGAGUUGCAUAUUGUUAGUGAACUUAAAAUCUUAUUUUAAAUAAAAAGGGUGCUGUUGUAAUUCUUAAGAUGACGGCUCCACGUGCUUUACCUCAAAGCAAAGAAGCGUUGUUAAAAUCUUACAUGACUAGGCUUAAGGAUGAUGUGAAAUCAAUACUGGAAAAUUUCGAAGAAAUAGUGAAGCUUGCCAAGACCGAAAGCGAUACCCAGCUAUCGCGAAUGACGCAAUGCGAGCAAGAUACAUUUGAAAUGCACGUGAGGGCUGCAAACAUUGUCCGAGCUGGCGAAUCAUUGAUGAAAUUAGUCUCGGACAUCAAGCAGUAUUUGAUUCUAAACGACUUUCCUUCCGUGAACGAAGCCAUAACUCAAAAUAGUAAACUCUUCAGAACGAAACAGGCAGAAUGUGAUCAGAAGUUGGCUUCCUUGAGAGACGACAUGGCUGCUGAUUUGUAUGAUUUGGAAGAAGAAUACUAUACAUCUAUAUACAAAUAGCUCUAGCAAAUGAAGAAAAUUCGGGACUUGAUCCAGAGACUCGAUAUUUUCACGGAAUUGUACAUUGUUUAUUGAAAUAAGUGUAUUCUAAAAGAAUUUAUAACACACAAACAGUACAACACACAAUACCGCUAAUUGGUAGAUAUAUGUAAUAACAUGGACGCAUGAAUUAGAAGGAGCCAGCGUAAUAAUAGGCGCGCAAAGUAAAGCACAACUGGUUCGAGUGGAGUUCCUCCAGGGAUAGUUGAGAGAGACACUGGGUAUUCCAAUUCAGCUUGGUGCCGCUGUACCGAAUUUGGUUGGGUUGAACGAGUUGACGCGAUUUUCAAAUCACAAUUUUAAUUGCCAGAGGAUGGAUUUAAUGCAGGAUAGAGACAAGACCGAUCAUGCAAAUAUUGUAAAUUAUUCGCAAGGUAAUAUGUAUUUCCGAACAUAUAUAUUUUAAAUUUUCAUCUAUAAAAGAAAUAAUAAAAAAUUACACAGUUCAAA